CGCGAAUAGCUCAUUACAACAGCUAUAAUUACUUGAUCUUGACACAAUCCUACUUGGAUAACUGUGGUAAUUCUAGAGCUAAUACAUGCAUUAAAGCUCUGACCUCACGGGAAGAGUGCAUUUAUUAGAACAAAACCAAGCGGCCUCGGCUGUUUUCGGUUGACUCAUAGUAACUGAGCUGAUCGCAUGGUCUUGCACCGGCGACGUGUCUUUCAGGUAUCUGCCGUAUCAACUUUCGAUGGUAGUGUAUCUGACUACCAUGGUGAUCACGCGUAACGGAGAAUAAGGGUUCGGCUCCAGAGAGUUCGCCUGAGAAAUCGCGAACACAUCUAAGGAAGGCAGCAGGCGCGAAAAUUACCCACUCUCAGCACGAGGAGGUAGUGACGAAAAAUAACGAGACCGUUCUCUUAUGAGGCCGGUCAUCGGAAUGGGUACAAUUUAAACCCUUUAACGAGUAUCUAUGAGAGGGCAAGUCUGGUGCCAGCAGCCGCGGUAAUUCCAGCU
RNAcentral lists this ribosomal RNA (504 nucleotides) under Cervidellus vexilliger. Its description in RNAcentral is "SSU rRNA". It matches the Rfam family "Eukaryotic small subunit ribosomal RNA", at positions 88 to 590 of the family's 1831-position model. Lineage: Eukaryota; Metazoa; Nematoda; Chromadorea; Rhabditida; Cephalobidae. The record is from RNAcentral.